AGCUGCUAACCAGGCCUUA
Molecule: non-coding RNA, 19 nt
Filed under: Mus musculus (house mouse)
Lineage: Eukaryota; Metazoa; Chordata; Mammalia; Rodentia; Muridae
Source: RNAcentral